GACGAACGCUGGCGGCGUGCCUAAUACAUGCAAGUAGAACGCUGAAGGAGGAGCUUGCUUCUCUGGAUGAGUUGCGAACGGGUGAGUAACGCGUAGGUAACCUGCCUGGUAGCGGGGGAUAACUAUUGGAAACGAUAGCUAAUACCGCAUAAUAUUGACUAUUGCAUGAUAGUCAGUCGAAAGGUGCAACUGCACCACUACCAGAUGGACCUGCGUUGUAUUAGCUAGUUGGUGGGGUAACGGCUCACCAAGGCGACGAUACAUAGCCGACCUGAGAGGGUGAUCGGCCACACUGGGACUGAGACACGGCCCAGACUCCUACGGGAGGCAGCAGUAGGGAAUCUUCGGCAAUGGACGGAAGUCUGACCGAGCAACGCCGCGUGAGUGAAGAAGGUUUUCGGAUCGUAAAGCUCUGUUGUAAGAGAAGAACGAGUGUGAGAGUGGAAAGCUCACACUGUGACGGUAUCUUACCAGAAAGGGACGGCUAACUACGUG
This 495-nucleotide ribosomal RNA is filed under the name uncultured bacterium. Its description in RNAcentral is "partial 16S ribosomal RNA". It matches the Rfam family "Bacterial small subunit ribosomal RNA", at positions 28 to 507 of the family's 1533-position model. The record is from RNAcentral.